GAAAAUUACAGGCUCUUACAAGCCCGUAAUCACCUACAGCGAACCCCCUAUGGGGCCCGUCUACAGACUAAGUGGUUGUGGGCAGAGCCUGGAGCUCUGCUUAAGAUAUAGUCGAUACCCACGCUUCGCGGCCUGGGAUAGCUAGUCCGUAGGUGAACCUGCGGAAGGAUCAUUA
Molecule: ribosomal RNA, 175 nt
Filed under: Coccomyces proteae
Lineage: Eukaryota; Fungi; Ascomycota; Leotiomycetes; Rhytismatales; Rhytismataceae
Description: partial 18S ribosomal RNA
Source: RNAcentral